AACCUGGUUGAUCCUGCCAGUAGUCAUAUGCUUGUCUCAAAGAUUAAGCCAUGCAUGUCUAAGUAUAAGCAAUCUAUACUGUGAAACUGCGAAUGGCUCAUUAAAUCAGUUAUCGUUUAUUUGAUAGUACCUUACUACUUGGAUAACCGUGGUAAUUCUAGAGCUAAUACAUGCUAAAAACCCCGACUUUUGGAGGGGUGUAUUUAUUAGAUAAAAAACCAAUGCCCUUCGGGGCUCCUUGGUGAUUCAUAAUAACUUAACGAAUCGCAUGGCCUUGUGCCGGCGAUGGUUCAUUCAAAUUUCUGCCCUAUCAACUUUCGAUGGUUAGGUCUUGGCUAACCAUGGUUUCAACGGGUAACGGGAAAUUAGGGUUCUAUUCCGGAGAGUGAGCCUGAGAAACGGCUAACACAUCCAAGGAAGGCAGCAGGCGCGCAAAUUACCCAAUCCCGACACGGGGAGGUAGUGACAAUAAAUACUGAUCCAGGGCUCUUUUGGGUCUUGGAAUUGGAAUGAGUACAAUUUAAAUCCCUUAACGAGGAACAAUUGGAGGGCAAGUCUGGUGCCAGCAGCCGCGGUAAUUCCAGCUCCAAUAGCGUAUAUUAAAGUUGUUGCAGUUAAAAAGCUCGUAGUUGAACCUUGGGCCUGGCUGGCUGGUCCGCCUCACCGCGUGUACUGGUCCGGCCGGGCCUUUCCUUCUGGGGAAUCGCAUGCCCUUCACUGGGUGUGUCGAGGAUCCAGGACUUUUACUUUGAAAAAAUUAGAGUGU
RNAcentral lists this ribosomal RNA (766 nucleotides) under uncultured eukaryote. RNAcentral's name for it is "SSU rRNA". It matches the Rfam family "Eukaryotic small subunit ribosomal RNA", at positions 1 to 774 of the family's 1831-position model. The record is from RNAcentral.